RNAcentral lists this ribosomal RNA (652 nucleotides) under uncultured bacterium. RNAcentral's name for it is "bacterial SSU rRNA". It matches the Rfam family "Bacterial small subunit ribosomal RNA", at positions 233 to 889 of the family's 1533-position model. The record is from RNAcentral.
GCGCCCUAUUAGGCAGUUGGUGAGGUAACGGCUCACCAAGCCUACGAUGGGUAGCCGACCUGAGAGGGUGACCGGCCACACUGGGACUGAGAUACGGCCCAGACUCCUACGGGAGGCAGCAGUAGGGAAUAUUGCGCAAUGGGCGAAAGCCUGACGCAGCAACGCCGCGUGGAGGAUGAAACCCCUAGGGGCGUAAACUCCUUUCAGGGGGGAAGAAACCUGAUAACAGCUGACGGUACCCUCAGAAGAAGCUCCGGCUAACUCCGUGCCAGCAGCCGCGGUAAUACGGGGGGAGCAAGCGUUGUCCGGAAUCACUGGGCGUAAAGGGUGCGCAGGUGGGAUUGCAAGUCCGUGGUGAAACCUGGUGGCUCAACUGCCAGCCUGCCGCGGAUACUGCUUUUCUUGAGUGCUGCAGAGGAAGCUGGAAUUCCUGGUGUAGCGGUGAAAUGCGUAGAUAUCAGGAAGAACACCGGUUGCGAAGGCGAGCUUCUGGGCAUGCACUGACACUGAGGCACGAAAGCUGGGGGAGCAAACAGGAUUAGAUACCCUGGUAGUCCCAGCCGUAAACGAUGAGCACUAGGUGUUGGGGGGGGCCGAUCCUCUCAGUGCCGCAGCUAACGCAUUAAGUGCUCCGCCUGGGGAGUACGCUCGC